This 76-nucleotide transfer RNA is filed under the name Candidatus Hydrogenedentota bacterium. RNAcentral describes it as "tRNA-Thr". It matches the Rfam family "tRNA". From Rfam's summary of the family: Transfer RNA (tRNA) molecules are approximately 80 nucleotides in length. Their secondary structure includes four short double-helical elements and three loops (D, anti-codon, and T loops). Further hydrogen bonds mediate the characteristic L-shaped molecular structure. tRNAs have two regions of fundamental functional importance: the anti-codon, which is responsible for specific mRNA codon recognition, and the 3' end, to which the tRNAs corresponding amino acid is attached (by aminoacyl-tRNA synthetases). tRNAs cope with the degeneracy of the genetic code in two manners: having more than one tRNA (with a specific anti-codon) for a particular amino acid; and 'wobble' base-pairing, i.e. permitting non-standard base-pairing at the 3rd anti-codon position. The record is from RNAcentral. Lineage: Bacteria; Pseudomonadati; Candidatus Hydrogenedentota.
GCUGGAGUAGCUCAGUUGGUAGAGCACAUCACUCGUAAUGAUGGGGUCAGGGGUUCGACUCCCCUCUCCAGCUCCA